AUGGGUGCCGCGCGCGCAUGGCGCUGGAAGCUUCUGCCCUUCCACUCCAAGCCGCCGCCGCCGCCGCCGCCAUCCCUCCCUGCAACCCUGUCCCCGGUGGACAAGGAGGAGGACGUGCCACGGGAGUUCCUGUGCCCGAUACUGGGCGCGCCCAUGUCCGACCCGGUGAUCCUGCCGUCGGGGCGGACGUACGAGCGCGCCUGCAUCCAGGCCUGCGCGGAGCUUUCCGUCUCUCCACCUGGCCUGGAGGGAGACUCGCCGGCAUCGGGUGGGGUGGUUCCCAUACCCAACGACGCGCUCGGGGCGGCCAUCCGGACUUGGAGCGCGCGGUCCGGACGCGCGCCGCCUGCGGCCCCUUCCGCCGCGGCGGCACGGGAGGCCGUGCUACGCGCGGUUCCGUCUCCGCGGCCACCAGGCAGGUCGUCUUCUAACUUGUCCUGCUCCUCCAGGGCGUCCGCUGCGUCGACGUCGUCGUCGUCCUCCCGGUCGUCGUCAGAGAUAACGGCGGUGGAGCAGCUGGAGAUGGUGUGCGCGAAGAAAACGGAGUCAUUGCGGGUUGGUGAGGGGGAGGAGGAAGUUGGCCAGUUGACAGUGAAGGCUGUGGGCGGCGGAGAUGAGUGGGAGGUGGAGGCAGCGAUGGCGGCGCUGCGACGGGCGACGCGGGAAAGCGCGCCGAGGAGGCGGGCGCUCUGCGUGCCGCAGCUGCUCGCUGCGCUCCGUCGCGUGCUGCUGUCCGCGCGUCACUCGGCCGCGGCGCGCGCCGACGCUACCGCUGCUCUGGCCAACCUCUCCCUCGAGCCUGAGAACAGGGUGCCCAUCGUCCGCGCGGGUGCCGUGCCGGCGCUCGUCGAGGUUGCCAGCUUGGGUGCUGCCGCCCCGGAGGCGUGCGAGCACGCGGCAGGCGCUCUGUUCGGCCUGGCUCUCCACGAGGGCAACCGCGCCGCCAUCGGCGUGCUCGGCGCCUUGCCUCCUCUUCUGGCACUCCUUACGACGGGCGACCAGGCCCCGCGAGCGCGCCGCGAUGCCGGGAUGGCUCUGCUCCACCUCUCCCUCGCCGCCGUUAACCAGUCUAAGCUCGCGCGCGCCCCGGGCGCCGCCAAGAACCUGCUCUCCAUCUCCUCCGAUUCCAACGAGCCGUUGCCCAUCCGCAGGCUGGCCCUCAUGGUGAUCUGCAACGUCGCCGCCUGCACUGAGGGCCGGACAGCGCUCAUGGACGCCGGCGCCGUGGCGACGUUCUCCGUCAUCCUUUCCGACGACGCUCACAGGUCGGAGCUUGAAGAAUGCUGCGUCGCGGCAUUGUACGACAUGAGCAAGGGAAGCCCGCGGUUCCGGGGGCUCGCCAGAGCGGCCGGCGCCGACCGGCCACUCAUCCUCAUCGCCGAGCAAGCGGACCCCGGCGUUCACAAGGACAUGGCGCGGAAGGCACUGCGAGCAAUGCUGGGCCUGGGCGACAUCAACGGCGGAGGCCUUCAUGAUUUCAGCAACACCGAACGCAACGACGAUGACAGCGGCACCAUGGCGUCGUCCCUGCCGGUCCGCCGCCGGCGUGCUGCGAGCUGGGGAGCUCCUCCUGCCUCGAAGCUGUCAAGUUCACACCACUGGCGAUCAGUAUGCAUCGAUUAG
Molecule: ribosomal RNA, 1623 nt
Filed under: Triticum aestivum (bread wheat)
Lineage: Eukaryota; Viridiplantae; Streptophyta; Magnoliopsida; Poales; Poaceae
Description: partial small subunit ribosomal RNA
Source: RNAcentral